UUUGAGAAUAUUAAAAAAACAAAAAAAGGGUUGACCCAAUGCAAAAAGCAUGGCUCUAGGUAGGUUUACACCGCUUCACAGAGACUCUAGGUCACAAAUGGAGUAAUUUUUUGGUUACACCAAAGCCACCCCCUAUCCUAUCCCAGAAUAUGAAUUCAAAAAGAAGAAUAAAGAAAAAUAUAUUCUAGAGAUGCACCCUUUUGAGUACCGCUGAAUCUUGAGCACUACAAAUAAUGCCAUAUGGCUGCCUAACUUUACUCAACACAGUACAAGGGAUAGCUAUCCUGUGAACAAAAUAUUAGACGGAGUAGAAAUGUAUCUAGGAAGUAGGAAAUACAUGAAAAGGUUUAUGAAAACACCAUAGCCAGACCGCUUCCGAUCCAGUUAACUUACUCAAAAGAGGGAGCAACAAGAAAGGAAGCCAUUUCAUGCUAUCAAAAAUCAAAAUCAUUCAUCGACAUUGUAUAUUAGAUAGACAGCAUAG
RNAcentral lists this unclassified non-coding RNA (484 nucleotides) under Hevea brasiliensis (rubber tree). Lineage: Eukaryota; Viridiplantae; Streptophyta; Magnoliopsida; Malpighiales; Euphorbiaceae. The record is from RNAcentral.